Molecule: unclassified non-coding RNA, 303 nt
Filed under: Hevea brasiliensis (rubber tree)
Lineage: Eukaryota; Viridiplantae; Streptophyta; Magnoliopsida; Malpighiales; Euphorbiaceae
Source: RNAcentral
GAGCUUUUGUGAUAAAUGUAUUAGGGACCAUAUUAUCUCUAAGUCAGCAUGCGUUUGUGGAGCAACCAACAUACUAGCAGAUGAUCUCUUGCCAAAUAAGACACUCAGGGAUACAAUCAAUCGCAUUCUAGAGUCUGGUAAUAGUAGUGCUGAUAAUGCUGGUAGUAUCUAUCAGGUGCAAGAUAUGGAAUCUGCUCGCAUUGCACAGCCAAAGGUUCCUUCCCCUACCUUAUCUGCUGCUUCAAAGGGAGAAAGAAAUAUACAGUCAGUCAACGAGGAGACUACAAAGGCCAAGGAGGUAGA